RNAcentral lists this ribosomal RNA (253 nucleotides) under uncultured bacterium. RNAcentral's name for it is "partial 16S ribosomal RNA". It matches the Rfam family "Bacterial small subunit ribosomal RNA", at positions 524 to 776 of the family's 1533-position model. The record is from RNAcentral.
UACGAGGGGGGCAAGUGUUGUUCGGAAUCACUGGGCGUAAAGCGCACGUAGGCGGCUUUUUAAGUCAGAGGUGAAAUCCUGGAGCUCAACUCCAGAACUGCCUUUGAUACUGGAGAGCUUGAGUCCGGGAGAGGUGAGUGGAACUGCGAGUGUAGAGGUGAAAUUCGUAGAUAUUCGCAAGAACACCAGUGGCGAAGGCGGCUCACUGGCCCGGUACUGACGCUGAGGUGCGAAAGCGUGGGGAGCAAACAGG